Molecule: ribosomal RNA, 237 nt
Filed under: uncultured bacterium
Lineage: Bacteria
Description: partial 16S ribosomal RNA
Rfam family: Bacterial small subunit ribosomal RNA
Source: RNAcentral
CGGCACGGGUGAGUAACACGUAUCCAACCUGCCGUCUACUCUUGGCCAGCCUUCUGAAAGGAAGAUUAAUCCAGGAUGGCAUCAUGAGUUCACAUGUCCGCAUGAUUAAAGGUAUUUCCGGUAGACGAUGGGGAUGCGUUCCAUUAGAUAGUAGGCGGGGUAACGGCCCACCUAGUCAACGAUGGAUAGGGGUUCUGAGAGGAAGGUCCCCCACAUUGGAACUGAGACACGGUCCAA